RNAcentral lists this ribosomal RNA (360 nucleotides) under uncultured bacterium. Its description in RNAcentral is "bacterial SSU rRNA". It matches the Rfam family "Bacterial small subunit ribosomal RNA", at positions 28 to 394 of the family's 1533-position model. The record is from RNAcentral.
GACGAACGCUGGCGGCGUGCUUAACACAUGCAAGUCGAGCGGAAAGGCCCUUCGGGGUACUCGAGCGGCGAACGGGUGAGUAACACGUGAGCAACCUGCCCUGGACUUUGGGAUAACCCUCGGAAACGGGGGCUAAUACCGAAUAUGACCUGUCACUGCAUGGUGGUGGGUGGAAAGUUUUCGGUCUGGGAUGGGCUCGCGGCCUAUCAGCUUGUUGGUGGGGUGAUGGCCUACCAAGGCGACGACGGGUAGCCGGCCUGAGAGGGCGACCGGCCACACUGGGACUGAGACACGGCCCAGACUCCUACGGGAGGCAGCGGUGGGGAAUUUUGGACAAUGGGGGCAACCCUGAUCCAGCCA